Homo sapiens (human) is the source of this 2373-nucleotide long non-coding RNA. The record is from Ensembl. NCBI's taxonomy places the organism in Eukaryota, Metazoa, Chordata, Mammalia, Primates, Hominidae.
GGGGAGAAGAGGCUCAGGCAUGGCGGGCUGCAGGUCCGGAGCCCUGCCCCGCGGGGAGGCACCUAAGGCCCCGCGAGAAAUCGAGCGCAGCGCCGGUAGGCUGGCACUGCUGGGGGACCCAGCGCACCCUCCUCAGCUGCUGGCCCGGUUGCUAAACCCUGCUGGUCCGGGUGCUAAGCUCCUCAUUGCCCAGGGAGGCGGGGCCCGCCAAACCCACGCCAACCCGGAACUCUAGCUGGCCCGCAAGGGCUACGCGCAGCCCCGGUUCCUGCCCGUGCCUCUCCCUCCGCACUUCCCCUCAGGCUGAGGGAGCUGGCUCCUGCCUCGGCCAUCCCAGGAAGAGGCUCCCACAGUGCAGCGACGGGCUGAAGGGCUCCUCAGGCGCGGCCAGAGUGGGCGCCCAGGCCGAGGAGGCGCCAAGAGCGAGCGAGGGCUGCGACGACUGCCAGCAUGCUGUCACCUCUCACUAUGACUGUCUGGGAUCUGCUUUAUAAAUAAACAAGCUUCCUACAAUUAUCCUCAUCUCAUGGAAAAACUAGACAGAGGAAAAGAAAAGAGGCAAAUGGAGCUUCCUUUGCUAAGAGCUCAAAUAACUCUCCUCUACAUAGUCUUCUUCAAACAAAAACACAAAGCUAAUUUUCCAUUUACUCUUUGAGAGUUCCACAGAAAAACAAAAAAACCAAGUGACAUUAAUUGAUACUGGACACAAUCUGUGAUAUCAGUGAUUAAGUUGGAGUUAUGCAAGUGGAUCAUUUGCCACCAACCAGAAAAUAAGGAUUCCUUUCAAGUGGAUGUGGGAUAUGAAUAUUUUUUGGCACAAGACAGUAGUUCAAUUGGUAAAAAUUUCAUCAAUGGUGACUUUGGAGAAUGUCAUGUUGCAGGUGAAUGUCCUAACCAGGACAAUAUUCAUGCAUUUGAAAAAUCCAGCGUGAGAAACAUAGAAAGGCUAAGGUCAGAGAUCUGCUUGGGAAAACUUGAGGCAUUAAAAUAUUGGAAGAGGACAUCUGGGUAAAUUUCCCCAAGGAUCUACAACUUGAGAGCCUAAAGAAUUGACCCACCAUUCUCUAUGAAGAGCUAGACAUUUUCUCAUGCAAGAAGAUACUUCAGAGGCCACUUUCACAUAAGAUAAAUGGAAGAAGACCAUCACCAGAGAUGAAUGGACAUUUGAUAUUACCAAGAAUAUGCAUAAUGACUUGGAAGUUACCAUUUGAACAAUUGACAUUCUUGAGCAUCUUAGGUUGGAUUUCCUAGGAACAGAACCUGUGACAGGAAUUCAGGUGGAGCUGUUUUAGGCUGGGUGCUGUGGCCCAGGCCUGGAAUCCCAGCACUUCAGAAGGCCAAGGCAGGAGAAUCGCUUGAGCCCAGGAGUUCAAGAGCAGCCUGGGCAACAUGUUGAAACAUCAUCUCUAUACAAAUAUACGCACAAAAAUUAGCUGGACAUGGUGGUGUGCACCUGUAGUCCUAACUACUCAGGAAGCUGUGGUGGAAGAAUCACUUGAGCCCAGGAGGUCGAGCCUGCAAUAAGCUGUGAUUGCACCACUGCACUCCAGCGUGGAUGACAGAGCAAGACACCCUGUCUCAAAAAAAAGACUAUACAACAGAGCUCUGAAAAAGAUCACACUUUCAGGCUCAAGGAGCUCUCUUGUUCCUUCCACCAUCUGAGAACACAGUGAGAAGUCCCCAGGCUUCAACCUGAAAAAGGGCCCUCAUCAGAACCUGAUCAUCAGAACUUGGCACCCCAAUCUUUGUCUUCUGAUCUACAUUGUGACCUAAGUCAGAACGGGGCCAUAGCAGGCAUAAAAGCAACAAUUUAUCAAACUGCCUGAGGGAAUGAUGUAAAAAAUGCUCAUCAAGAAUAUCCAUCUGGACAGGACAAAAAAUGACGCUGAGAGGACUUUGGAGAGUUUCUACCCAGUUUUCCUAAAUUCCAGGAAGUUUUCUUAGUAGAAAUGAUGAUGACUGAAAGCUACUUCAUUUCUGGGAUACUUGAGACUUCUGGUCUGCAUAUGUGACUGUAGGAAGAAAUAAAUAAUUUAUGUUUUGGAAAAACCCUAAUUACCUAAAGAUGACUCUCAUGGAGUAAAAGGGAAAUGGGCAUUUGUCUUGUUUUCCCAAACUCUUUCAGUACUCAGUGAAUAAAAAUUAAGGUAACAACAUGAAUUCAGAAGGGCUUCUUAUUUGAGCUCUCUUACCUGUGCAGACUUAUAUUAUUGUGUGUGUGACAGGCAUUUUCCUUAUUUUAUUUUAUACAAUGUGUGUGAAUAAAUUUUUAUACAACUUCUUUUAUUAAAGGCAGAGAAUGCUUCAGCUUACCUUUGUAUUAUCUACAUUUUGGAAACAGAAUGAAUAUUCAAAUGUUGAAUUAGCUCGAAU